UUACCCAAUCUUCCCCAUUCUCCACUUUCACCUCCUUGAUCCCUUCUUCCACUUCUUUAAAAGAAUCCAUCACUUCAUGAUCAGUGAUUCCAUACUGGAUCAUAUUGAUGUUUGCAGGUGUAGGAACGUGGUUAUAGUUAGGUAAAGGUUUGGUUUGGGUACUAGGUUUGGAAAGAUCAGUGAUUUGAUCGCUAUCAAUAAGGUCAUGUACAUCAUGCUUGAGCGAGUAUAGUUGUCUGUUGUAUGCCUGACCAUUUGGUGAUAAUGGCAGAAAUCAUUCAUAUUCCAUUUUUCUAGUGCAAGGUUAGUUUCCAAGUUAAAUGAUCAUGUGGCAAAUUACCCGUGACCUCUAAUGGUAGGUUUUUCUUCUUCUACU
Molecule: unclassified non-coding RNA, 376 nt
Filed under: Hevea brasiliensis (rubber tree)
Lineage: Eukaryota; Viridiplantae; Streptophyta; Magnoliopsida; Malpighiales; Euphorbiaceae
Source: RNAcentral